CCUACGGGAGACAGCAGUGAGGAAUAUUGGUCAAUGGACGCGAGCCUGAACCAGCCAAGUAGCGUGAAGGAAGACGGCCCUAUGGGUUGUAAACUUCUUUUAUAAGGGGAUAAAGCGAGGUACGUGUGCCGGUUUGAAUGUAUCUUAUGAAUAAGGAUCGGCUAACUCCGUGCCAGCAGCCGCGGUAAUACGGAGGAUUCAAGCGUUAUCCGGAUUUAUUGGGUUUAAAGGGUGCGUAGAUGGGUUGUUAAGUCAGAUGUGAAAUCCUGCGGCUCAACUGCGGCAUUGCAACUGAUACUGGCAGGCUUGAGUACAGGUGAGGUAGGCGGAAUGCGUGGUGUAGCGGUGAAAUGCAUAGAGAUCAUGAAGAACACCGAUUGCGAAGGCAGCCUACCAAACUACCACUGACAUUGAGGCACGAAAGUGUGGGUAGCAAACAGGAUUAGAUACCCGAGUAGUC
This 460-nucleotide ribosomal RNA is filed under the name uncultured bacterium. Its description in RNAcentral is "partial 16S ribosomal RNA". It matches the Rfam family "Bacterial small subunit ribosomal RNA", at positions 338 to 795 of the family's 1533-position model. The record is from RNAcentral.